AGCUGUUUUCUCUCCUCAAUUGUAAUAUUUUUUUUAUCUAUCUUAAUAAAAGCCAGAUGUCUCCUUUUUCGGCCUCCCUUUAUAUCAAAAAAAAAAGAAGAAGAAAGAGAGAAAACCUUAUAAUUUAUUGAUGAUAAAUGUCUGGCGUUCAAAGACGCACAUCAACAAAGAGGUAAAGCAAAGUUUUCAAACUCUAAUCAAACCUACCGGUUGGACGAGAAUUGGACAGGCCUUGGUUGAAUUAGCCAGUCCGAGCUGAGUUAUCCAAUUUGUUAUGUAAGGUAAAGUUUUGUCUCGCUAAUAAUGCACCAUCUCUCAUCUCCAUCCUCUUUCUUCCUCGCUUUUCUUCAAUGGCUUCAGCAAGGAUAGAGAACUCCAAUUUCAAAGACAUUCCAACUGGCUUCAAUGACCACCGACGAUAUCAAUGAGGCCUCCCGCCUCCUCGACAGCAAGAUCUAGAUCCUCAAGGUCAAACCCUCACCUCCACGACAAUGAGAUCUAAAUUCUUAAGGUAAAAUCCUAAUCAAGAUCCCAUCCUUUUCCCAAAUCAAUCUAGGGUUUCCUCCGCCCAUCUCUUUUCCUUCCCAUUCCUUGUCACACUCAUUCUAUGAUGGAUUAGAAAUUUUUAUCUUAAUUCUUCUAAGAUCUCCAUCAAGAUUAGUUGCAGAGGACCCCUUAAGAAAAAAAUGAGGCAAUUUUUUUCAAUUUCUUUGAAAUCUUUUCUAAUUUUAUAAUUUUUGCAAUCU
This 746-nucleotide long non-coding RNA is filed under the name Phoenix dactylifera (date palm). RNAcentral's name for it is "long non-coding RNA (PDAC_LNC005104)". The record is from RNAcentral. Lineage: Eukaryota; Viridiplantae; Streptophyta; Magnoliopsida; Arecales; Arecaceae.